RNAcentral lists this ribosomal RNA (164 nucleotides) under uncultured bacterium. Its description in RNAcentral is "partial 16S rRNA". It matches the Rfam family "Bacterial small subunit ribosomal RNA", at positions 355 to 511 of the family's 1533-position model. The record is from RNAcentral.
UAGGGAAUCUUCCACAAUGGACGAAAGUCUGAUGGAGCAACGCCGCGUGAGUGAAGAAGGUUUUCGGAUCGUAAAGCUCUGUUGUUGGUAAAGAAGGAUAGAGGCAGUAACUGGUCUUUAUUUGACGGUAAUCAACCAGAAAGUCACGGCUAACUACGUGCCAG